This is a non-coding RNA of Arachis ipaensis, 1977 nucleotides long. The record is from RefSeq and is a predicted model, not a curated record. Lineage: Eukaryota; Viridiplantae; Streptophyta; Magnoliopsida; Fabales; Fabaceae.
CAGAUACUAUGGCAUAAUCUGUUAUUGCCAUAAUGAGUUUGUGCAAAAUGGCGGUUUUCGAUGAUUAUGGCGGUUUAAAACCGCCCUUAUCUGGGGCCAUAAUUUAAAAAUAACCACACAAUAUCUGAUUCCAACCCUAAUUGAAGAACUAACGUGCUGCCGCAUACACUGUUUAUGUAAGGUAACGACGCCUACCACUGGGAUCUACUCCGGCGCGAUCUGCUUCAGUGACAACUUUCUCCACCAAGAAUCUCCUCAGCAGCGUUCUCCUCCGACUAGAAUCUCCUCGCCGUUCACCGCUAUCGUUCAUCUCCUCGCUGCUGCCUUCAAUGAGCUUCUACGAUCUUGUUCUGGUUUCGAUCUAAAGGUUAGCCAUCGCCGCUCAUCUACCUUGCUGCUUCGUUUAUCACCUCGCCGCCGCAAGCAACAUUGUUGCUGCUUUAGCGAGCUUCGACAAAUCUCUUCACUUUUGUGAUUACGUCCUUGCUCUCACUGUCGAUAACUUCCUCAAGCGCCACCUCCAGACUCUCGUCUUCAAUCCCAACAUGGCCAAGUCAAUCCACCACGCCAGGUCCUGAUCCGCUAGCGCCACAUUAGGUUUCUUUCCUACACUAUCUAAUACUUUGUGACUGAUAUUAGAUAGAUGAGAGGUAGGCUUACACUAGAGAAGGUGAAUGCAGCAAUCAAUGACAUGGCAUCCUAUGCUAAAGCAAAUGCUUACACUAGAGAAGUUGAAGCUUUCUGAUGCAUUUAUGGAACUCUUAUCGCAACAACAAUUUCAAUGGAGAGAAGUAAUAAAUCUGAAAGUGAUUAGUGUUGCAUUUGAGAAGGGGAGAGUGAUGUGAAUGACAACCCUAAUCUCUUGUCGCCGUUCAUCUUCCACCUCUCUCAUACAUCUCUUUGCUGCCGCUUGUUGCACCUCAUCUCCUCGCCAGCUUCGCCGCUGCAAACAAUGUCGUUGUUGCUGCCUUGAACGAGUUCUGCAAUUUGGUUGCGCCUUCUCUGUCACUUCCAAUAGGGAUACAAAUACUGUAUCUGAUGCUGUAGAGUUUGUACUCCAAAAUUUCACAUAAAUGAACAAACUUUGGGUGCAGAUGCAAUAUCAGGUUUAGUAAUGCAUGCGAAUCAUUCAUACUCUUAGCUGACCCUGAGUUGAGGCUUGCUGUCGGGCUUUCUGGUCUGCAGGGGCCUACCCGGGAGAAGGAGAAACGGGAGAAAGAAAGGAGUGAGCUGUGCGAUCUUGUAAAGGGUGUUGAUCUUGAUAUGUUGUAAAUUUCAAAGAUGAGUUGGCCCAGUUUUACUUGAUGGAUUGCAUAAUUCAAGUCUUCCCAGAUGAGUAUCACUUGCAAACUCUUGAUGUAUUGUUGGGUGCAUGCCCUCUGCUUCAGCCAUUUGAAUAAGAACCAGCUUUCAGGUGCCGCCAAACUUUUCAGCUCUGACAUGGUGCUCAUACAUGUAUUAUUUGAUGGAAAUAAUUUAUCUGGUUCUAUACCAGAAACAUUAGGACUAGUUCAGACACUUGAGGUUCUCCGACUUGAUAGAAAUUUCCUGACAGGAGAGGUUCCUACAAAUCUUUGUAAGAGAUGAGUUUGGAUAAUGAAGUUGGAGUGUUGGAGCAAGAAACAAAGAUGUUGGAGCAAGUUCCCGGGAUGAAACUUACACAAGAGACCAAGAAACUAAGGCAUGCUUGUUUUAAAGUUAAUUACAAAAGGAGGAAAGUUUUGGCCUCCAAAUCUUAUUCAUCAUCACUUAGCUAAGCUACUUGUCUUGUAUAUUCAUAUUCUAAGUAGUAAAAACAACACUUAUUAGAUGGUUUAAAUACAUUAUUAGAUAUUAACAUAGUUUAGAAAACUGGAUGGUAGAUUUGACUGAUUAGUAUUUAUUGCAGUGCUUGUAUUUUGGUAAGUUUAGUAAGACAAGGUUUUGUAUAGGAGUUAUUACUUUUGAUUUUCAAUAAUAAAAAAUUAUAUAUUAUAG